Long non-coding RNA from Cyprinus carpio (common carp), 901 nucleotides. RefSeq lists it as uncharacterized. The record is from RefSeq and is a predicted model, not a curated record. NCBI's taxonomy places the organism in Eukaryota, Metazoa, Chordata, Actinopteri, Cypriniformes, Cyprinidae. The transcript has 3 exons.
CGAAGACGGGUUUGGAACGACAUGGGGUCCAUUAGUGGUGCGAUGAUGAACUCUGGUGGUGAUCUGAUGUAAUUUAAAACAUAAAUCCUAUCCAAACAACAAGCCCAAAAAUGAUAAUCAGGUGAGGACUGAAGGCCUAAUUGUGAGAGCUGUUGGCUGUUGGGGACUCAGGUUUGAUUCUGGCCUGAGUCUUUUCCCAAACACAGUCCCCCUUUUUCCCCCAUUUACCUGUUUUUCUCUACUGUCCUAUCCAAAAGAAUAAGGCCAAAAAACAAGGCCACUAAAAAAAAAAAAAAAAAAAAAGGUAAACAGGUGAGGUGCUGAAGGGACUGAAGGCCUAAUCAUAUCAGAGCUGUUGGCUGUUGGGGCUCCAAGUUCAAAUCCAGCCGGAGUCAUUUCCUGAUCCCAUUCCCCCUCUUUCCCCCACUGUCCUGUCUGUCUCUACUGUCCUAUUCUAAAUAAGACCAAUAAUGCUGAAUAAGGCCAAAAAAAAAAAAAGUAAACAGGUGAUAUAAGUAAUUGAAGGCAAAGUGAGUAAUUUAAGGAUUAAUCAAAUAUUUCUAAAAACAGAAAAAGCAGAAAGGCUUGUAAUGAAUUUGAAUCUAUGAAUCUAUCAAAACGUAUUUAUUCAUCAAUGUAAUUUGUAUAGUAGCCUCUGGUAUAUUUGUAGUCAUUACGUAAUGUGUUAAUACUGUAAGAGAAUACAGUUGUUUGCAGUAUUGUUAAUUCCAAAGUAGAUGAAGUAUGAUGACAAACUUUGAUGCUGGCUUUUACAAAGCUAGAGGUUUAAAUGUUUUAUCAUCAGAAAACAAAUGAAAUUUCAACCAGGCCAUAUUAGAUCGCUUCAGACCCCAUGUGACCUCAUUACACUUAAAAGGAAGCAUCAGUUUAGUAAAUUAUA